GUGAGGAAUAUUGGACAAUGGGCGCAAGCCUGAUCCAGCCAUGCCGCGUGCAGGAAGACGCAUCUAUGGUGUGUAAACUGCUUUUGUACGGGAAGAAACACUCCCUCGUGAGGGAGCUUGACGGUACCGUAAGAAUAAGGAUCAGCUAACUCCGUGCCAGCAGCCGCGGUAAUACGGAGGAUCCAAGCGUUAUCCGGAAUCAUUGGGUUUAAAGGGUCCGUAGGCGGUUUAAUAAGUCAGUGGUGCAAGCCCAUCGCUCAACGAUGGAACGGCCAUUGAUACUGUUAGACUUGAAUUACAAGGAAGUAACUAGAAUAUGUAGUGUAGCGGUGAAAUGCUUAGAUAUUACAUGGAAUACCAAUUGCGAAGGCAGGUUACUACUUGUGGAUUGACGCUGAUGGACGAAAGCGUGGGGAGCGAACAGGAUUAGAAACCCUAGUAGUCC
This 445-nucleotide ribosomal RNA is filed under the name uncultured bacterium. Its description in RNAcentral is "partial 16S ribosomal RNA". It matches the Rfam family "Bacterial small subunit ribosomal RNA", at positions 354 to 796 of the family's 1533-position model. The record is from RNAcentral.